GCGUCGUCGAGCGUCGUCAUUGUCUAUAUGGCCUCCGGAGCCAGAGGUCGUAGGUUCGAUUCCUACCGGGCGCA
This 74-nucleotide transfer RNA is filed under the name Actinomycetota bacterium. RNAcentral's name for it is "tRNA-Ser". The record is from RNAcentral. Lineage: Bacteria; Bacillati; Actinomycetota.